CACGCUGUAAACUAUGGAUACUAGGUGUGGGAGGUAUCGACCCCUUCUGUGCCGCAGCAAACGCAAUAAGUAUCCCGCCUGGGGAGUACGAUCGCAAGGUUGAAACUCAAAGGAAUUGACGGGGGCCCGCACAAGCGGUGGAGCAUGUGGUUUAAUUCGAUGCAACGCGAAGAACCUUACCAGGUCUUGACAUCUGUGGGACCCUGGUGAAAGCCGGGGGUGCCUUCGGGAGCCACAAGACAGGUGG
This 247-nucleotide ribosomal RNA is filed under the name uncultured Syntrophomonadaceae bacterium. RNAcentral describes it as "partial 16S ribosomal RNA". It matches the Rfam family "Bacterial small subunit ribosomal RNA", at positions 796 to 1041 of the family's 1533-position model. Lineage: Bacteria; Bacillati; Bacillota; Clostridia; Eubacteriales; Syntrophomonadaceae. The record is from RNAcentral.